Xenopus laevis (African clawed frog) is the source of this 2047-nucleotide long non-coding RNA. RefSeq lists it as uncharacterized. The transcript has 2 exons. Lineage: Eukaryota; Metazoa; Chordata; Amphibia; Anura; Pipidae. The record is from RefSeq and is a predicted model, not a curated record.
GUCCUUGUCUCUUCUGAACUCUUCUCUGUCCAUCUCUGCCCUCAUCUCUUUGAACUCUCCUCUGUCCAUUUCUGUCCUUGUCUCUUCUGAACUCUUCUCUGUCCAUUUCUGCCCUCAUCUCUUCUGAACUCUUCUCUGUCCAUUUCUGCCCUUAUCUCUUCUGAACUCUUCUCUGUCCAUCUCUGCCCUCAUCUCUUUGAACUCUUCUCUGUCCAUUUCUGUCCUUGUCUCUUCUGAACUCUUCUCUGUCCAUCUCUGCCCUCAUCUCUUUGAACUCUUCUCUGUCCAUUUCUGUCCUUGUCUCUUCUGAACUCUUCUCUGUCCAUCUCUGCCCUCAUCUCUUUGAACUCUUCUCUGUCCAUUUCUGCCCUUGUCUCUUCUGAACUCUUCUCUGUCCAUUUCUGCCCUCAUCUCUUCUGAACUCUUCUCUGUCCAUUUCUGCCCUUAUCUCUUCUGAACUCUUCUCUGUCCAUCUCUGCCCUCAUCUCUUUGAACUCUCCUCUGUCCAUUUCUGUCCUUGUCUCUUCUGAACUCUUCUCUGUCCAUUUCUGCCCUCAUCUCUUCUGAACUCUUCUCUGUCCAUUUCUGCCCUUAUCUCUUCUGAACUCUUCUCUGUCCAUCUCUGCCCUCAUCUCUUUGAACUCUUCUCUGUCCAUUUCUGUCCUUGUCUCUUCUGAACUCUUCUCUGUCCAUCUCUGCCCUUGUCUCUUCUGAACUCUUCUCUGUCCAUCUCUGUCCUUAUCUCUUCUGAACUCUUCUCUGUCCAUUUCUGCCCUCAUCUCUUCUGAACUCUUCUCUGUCCAUUUCUGCCCUCGUCUCUUCUGAACUCUUCUCUGUCCAUUUCUGCCCUCAUCUCUUCUGAACUCUUCUCUGUCCAUUUCUGCCCUCAUCUCUUCUGAACUCUUCUCUGUCCAUUUCUGCCCUCAUGUCUUCUGAACUCUUCUCUGUCCAUUUCUGCCCUCGUCUCUUCUGAACUCUUCUCUGUCCAUCUCUGCCCUCAUCUCUUUGAACUCUUCUCUGUCCAUUUCUGUCCUUGUCUCUUCUGAACUCUUCUCUGUCCAUCUCUGCCCUCAUCUCUUUGAACUCUUCUCUGUCCAUUUCUGUCCUUGUCUCUUCUGAACUCUUCUCUGUCCAUCUCUGCCCUCAUCUCUUUGAACUCUUCUCUGUCCAUUUCUGUCCUUGUCUCUUCUGAACUCUUCUCUGUCCAUUUCUGCCCUCAUCUCUUCUGAACUCUUCUCUGUCCAUCUCUGCCCUCAUCUCUUUGAACUCUUCUCUGUCCAUUUCUGUCCUUGUCUCUUCUGAACUCUUCUCUGUCCAUCUCUGCCCUUGUCUCUUCUGAACUCUUCUCUGUCCAUCUCUGUCCUUAUCUCUUCUGAACUCUUCUCUGUCCAUUUCUGCCCUCAUCUCUUCUGAACUCUACUCUGUUCAUGUUUCAUCUGCUUCUCUAUUGCCCUUAUCUCUUCUAACAAUGUCUCUGCAGGAGGCUGAGGUGGAUCAUACAGCACUAGGGACUGGAGCUGCUGUACCGCUCACCAUAGAGAUAUUUUGAGAGACCCCCCCCCCCAAGGAUGGAAACAGUCUAUCUACAUUCCUUAUGUUGUUUUCCAGAGGGAAAAGCCACCUGGAUCUCUUGGAUCUCGUUGUUCUUGGAAUGAUGGCUCCAAUGAGUGUCACCAAUAAGCAAACUAAUACUCACUAGGGCAGGCUCCAUCUGUGCCUCCUCAUUGUGUAUGUGCUCCUCACCUCCCCCUCUGUCUGGGCAGGGUACAUUCUUUACCAAACCAAUAACUCAACUGCAAGCGUGUCAUCAAAAUCUUUAUUUUUAUUUCAGUCCAAGAUCCCAAAUCAGAAUGAAAUUAAAGAAAAAAAGUGCCAGUAUUUAUCCAAUUUAGUGCUGAGCCCAGAGGGCAAUAAGGCUCUGCCUGCAGCUCCCGUUUGUGAAACUAUAUACACAUAGCAACAAACAUGGGUGUAUAUAUUCCUGAAAACAUGUCUAAACCUGUUUAUAAAAUCUGUUAACCAGUGAAUAAAUUGAUUUUUAUCAUAA